UACGUAGGUGGCAAGCGUUGUCCGGAUUUACUGGGCGUAAAGAGCGCGCAGGCGGUCGUUCAAGUCGCGUGUGAAAGCCCCCGGCUCAACUGGGGAGGGUCACGCGAUACUGAUCGACUCGAAGGCAGGAGAGGGUAGUGGAAUUCCACGUGUAGCAGUGAAAUGCGUAGAGAUGUGGAGGAACACCGAUGGCGAAGGCAGCCCCCUGGGUUAACACUGACGCUCAGGCACGAAAGCGUGGGGAGCAAACAGG
This 253-nucleotide ribosomal RNA is filed under the name uncultured bacterium. Its description in RNAcentral is "partial 16S ribosomal RNA". It matches the Rfam family "Bacterial small subunit ribosomal RNA", at positions 524 to 776 of the family's 1533-position model. The record is from RNAcentral.